This 400-nucleotide ribosomal RNA is filed under the name uncultured bacterium. Its description in RNAcentral is "bacterial SSU rRNA". It matches the Rfam family "Bacterial small subunit ribosomal RNA", at positions 355 to 747 of the family's 1533-position model. The record is from RNAcentral.
UGGGGAAUUUUGGACAAUGGGGGCAACCCUGAUCCAGCCAUGCCGCGUGAGUGAAGAAGGCCUUCGGGUUGUAAAGCUCUUUCGGACAGAAAGAAAUCGCACGGGCUAAUACUCUGUGUGGAUGACGGUACUGUCAUAAGAAGCACCGGCUAACUACGUGCCAGCAGCCGCGGUAAUACGUAGGGUGCGAGCGUUAAUCGGAAUUACUGGGCGUAAAGCGUGCGCAGGCGGUUAUGCAAGACAGGCGUGAAAUCCCCGGGCUCAACCUGGGAACUGCGCUUGUGACUGCAUAACUCGAGUACGGCAGAGGGGGGUAGAAUUCCACGUGUAGCAGUGAAAUGCGUAGAGAUGUGGAGGAAUACCGAUGGCGAAGGCAGCCCCCUGGGCCAGUACUGACGCU